RNAcentral lists this ribosomal RNA (253 nucleotides) under uncultured bacterium. RNAcentral describes it as "partial 16S ribosomal RNA". It matches the Rfam family "Bacterial small subunit ribosomal RNA", at positions 524 to 776 of the family's 1533-position model. The record is from RNAcentral.
UACGUAGGUGGCAAGCGUUGUCCGGAUUUACUGGGCGUAAAGAGCGCGCAGGCGGUCGUUCAAGUCGCGUGUGAAAGCCCCCGGCUCAACUGGGGAGGGUCACGCGAUACUGAUCGACUCGAAGGCAGGAGAGGGUAGUGGAAUUCCGGGUGUAGUGGUGAAAUGCGUAGAUAUCCGGAGGAACACCAGUGGCGAAGGCGACUUUCUGGCCUGUUCUUGACGCUGAGGCGCGAAAGCUAGGGGAGCAAACGGG